AGUACCGUGAGCCAUUGUACAAUAAUGAGCUGCCAGGCCACUGCAGUGCAGAAUGUAGGAAUCAAAAGCGUCAGCAAAUUGCAAAGAAGCAACUCUGCCAAGCCACUCCAGAACCUAGAUGUGUUUGGGUCUGAGGCUUCAUUCAGAAUUGUCCUCUCCUCUCUCAACCAUCCUGCAUGUUCUGCCCUUCUUCGGCUUCAAGAUCCUGGCAGAGCAGGCUGUCAGCCUGCAUAGGGAAGGGAAAAACCUCUGUCUCUAUGAUAUGCUCAUUUGAACCUGCUCAGC
Chelonoidis abingdonii (Abingdon island giant tortoise) is the source of this 285-nucleotide long non-coding RNA. RefSeq lists it as uncharacterized. The record is from RefSeq and is a predicted model, not a curated record. Lineage: Eukaryota; Metazoa; Chordata; Testudines; Testudinidae.